CUUCACCAAUGCAAUCUAGCUAGCUAGUAGCUACAAUCUUGUUGAAACACACACAGCUUCCACACGUACUGACAGAAGCCAGCAGCUAAGACGAUCAUCAUCCGAUGGACAGCAACACCAACAGCACGCAGCCUCCCCCGGGCUACCCGAGGCUGGACGCUGAGCAGAACGGCCACGGCAAGAAGAAGAAGCAGGGGUGCUGCGGGCUGCGGCGCCGCACGACGACGACCAAGCGCGGCGAGGCGAGCUUCAUCGAGGGAUGCAUCGCUGCGCUCUGCUGCUGCUGGCUCUGCGAGCUCUGCUGCGAUUAAUGGCUAGCCCAUGCUCAACCAAGCAAGAACGCCGUGCACCGGCAAGCAAGCAAGUUAAUUAAUAUAUAUAUUUAGUUUGGUCUCGAUCGAGAGGAGAUUAAUCUCGAUGCUCGAAGGAUGGUUGCUUAUGAUGUAAUGUAAUGCGUUGUACUUUAUUUACUCGUGUUUCUCUGUUGUGAUCCUUGGAACAGAAAAUCUAUAUGAAUGUUUAACAUACAUGAUA
Long non-coding RNA from Sorghum bicolor (sorghum), 534 nucleotides. RefSeq lists it as uncharacterized. The transcript has 3 exons. The record is from RefSeq and is a predicted model, not a curated record. Lineage: Eukaryota; Viridiplantae; Streptophyta; Magnoliopsida; Poales; Poaceae.